This 22-nucleotide non-coding RNA is filed under the name Arabidopsis thaliana (thale cress). The record is from RNAcentral. Lineage: Eukaryota; Viridiplantae; Streptophyta; Magnoliopsida; Brassicales; Brassicaceae.
CAGUGCUAGAGCAUCUCGGUUC